GGUUCAGCAUCUGCAUCUGAGGACAGACUUUGGGACCAGGUUUUGAAUGGUUCACAAAGCAAGGACCACCCCGGACAGGGUGGUUCACCGUCAAAGGAAGAAGACAGACUUUGGCACCAGGUUUUGAACGGUUCACAAAGCAAGGACCAACCCUGACGAGGUGGUUCACCGUCGGAGGAAGAAGACAGACUUUUUGCCCAGUUUCUGAACAUUUCACGAAGCAAGAAUCACCCCGGACGGGGUGGUUCACCGUCGAAGGAAGAAGACAGACUUUGGCACCAGGUGUUGAACGGUUCACGAAGCCAGAACCACCAGGGACAGGGUGGUUCAACAUUGGAGGAAGAAGACAGACUUUGGGACCGGGCUUUGAACAUUUCACAGAGGUUGAACGAUCCCGGACAGGGUGGUUCAACCUUUGCUUCCGAGGAAAGACUUUGGGACCAGUCUUUGACCAUUUCAUGUAGCAAGAACUACCCCGGACGGGGUGGUUCACCGUCGAAGGAAGCAGACAGACUUUGGCACCAGGUUUUGAAAGGUUCACAAAGCAAGGACCACCCCGGACGGGGUGGUUCACCGUCGGAGGAAGAAGACAGGCUUUGGCACCAGGUUUUGAACGGUUCAC
Poecilia latipinna (sailfin molly) is the source of this 622-nucleotide long non-coding RNA. RefSeq lists it as uncharacterized. The record is from RefSeq and is a predicted model, not a curated record. NCBI's taxonomy places the organism in Eukaryota, Metazoa, Chordata, Actinopteri, Cyprinodontiformes, Poeciliidae. The transcript is spliced from 4 exons.